CUUUAGUUGCCAUCAUUGAUUGGGCACUCUAAAGAGACUGCCGGUGUCAAACCGGAGGAAGGUGGGGAUGACGUCAAGUCCUCAUGGCCUUAUGACCAGGGCUACACACGUACUACAAUGGCCGGUACAAAGGGCAGCGACACAGCGAUGUGAAGCGAAUCCCGAAAAGCCGGUCUCAGUCCGGAUUGGAGUCUGCAACUCGACUCCAUGAAGUUGGAAUCGCUAGUAAUCGCGGAUCAGAACGCCGCGGUGAAUACGUUCUCGGGGUUU
Molecule: ribosomal RNA, 270 nt
Filed under: uncultured Desulfocapsa sp.
Lineage: Bacteria; Pseudomonadati; Thermodesulfobacteriota; Desulfobulbia; Desulfobulbales; Desulfocapsaceae
Description: partial 16S ribosomal RNA
Rfam family: Bacterial small subunit ribosomal RNA
Source: RNAcentral